Molecule: long non-coding RNA, 437 nt
Organism: Pseudophryne corroboree (corroboree frog)
Lineage: Eukaryota; Metazoa; Chordata; Amphibia; Anura; Myobatrachidae
Exons: 3
Source: RefSeq, a predicted model, not a curated record
CCCUGCAUAAAAACUGAAAAGAGUCUGCAACCAGGUUCAUUAACUAGCUGAAUACCCUUAAAGGCGUAUGCAUUUAUGCUUGGUUUUACCAUCCUACAACCAUUCUGGGUGAAUUAUCCAUCUCUAUUAAAAGUUGGUCCUAUAUAUAUGGGCUAUGGAUGUUUUAUAUCCAUGAAGGCCUUUGUUCCUUCCUUUUUUUGUGAUACCAUACAGAAACCCCUGAUGAAGUCGUUCUGACGAAACGCGUUGGGUCGAAUCCGUUACGGUCUCUUAUCUAGUUCAUUAAUACACCCUACAGAAUAUACACCUAUAAGGGUGAGGGUGUUCUUUAAAGGCUUGAACAGAAAACCUAUUGACUGUAUCUGGAUGUUUUUCUUUUAAGAAUGUUUAUAUGAAUGUAUGGAACCUUUUAUCUGUAAAAAAAAUGUUCAUAUGAA